This 432-nucleotide ribosomal RNA is filed under the name uncultured bacterium. Its description in RNAcentral is "partial 16S ribosomal RNA". It matches the Rfam family "Bacterial small subunit ribosomal RNA", at positions 28 to 507 of the family's 1533-position model. The record is from RNAcentral.
GAUGAACGCUGGCGGUAUGCUUAACACAUGCAAGUCGAACGGUCACUUCGGUGAUAGUGGCGGACGGGUGAGUAACGCGUAAGAAUCUGUCUUCAGGUCGGGGACAACAGUUAGUAAUGACUGCUAAUACCGGAUGUGCCUUUGGGUGAAAGAUUUAUUGCCUGAAAAAGAGCUCGCGUCAGAUUAGCUAGUAGGUGGUGUAAGAGACUACCUAGGCUCCGAUCUGUAGCUGGUCUGAGAGGACGAUCAGCCACACUGGAACUGAGACACGGUCCAGACUCCUACGGGAGGCAGCAGUGGGGAAUUUUCCGCAAUGGGCGAAAGCCUGACGGAGCAAUACCGCGUGAGGGACGAAGGCUUUUGGGUCGUAAACCUCUUUUCUCAAGGAAGAUGAUGACGGUACUUGAGGAAUAAGCAUCGGCUAACUCUGUG